AGAACAUGGAUUCAGAUAUCUUAAGAGGAUUAUCAAACAUUAGGAUGUAAUAAUGAUGGAAAUAAGUACUGAUACUUUCAUGGAACAAGGUUAUACAAAGAACAACCUGCCCUGGAAAAAAAUUAAAUUGGGAAGAUGACAGUGCAACCACAGUGAGGAAAAGGUCGUCCUCGAAGGAUCCCUUGAAAGCAAUGAAAGUCUGAUGGCGAAAAGUGAUGAUCUUGAAGAGGAUGGUAAUCAAAAGAAAUGUAUGAAUACUGACUCUGUUAUAUGCAAUACACUUGAUGAUUGGAUUAAUUUUGCAGACAAGUUUAAGGAUAGUAAUACAAAGUGCGAGAGAUCUUUAUUUGAAGUUGCACAACCUAAUUUCUUACCUGCUCUGAACGAAAUAUAUCAAUAACAGGAGAACACAUUGAUACAAUGAACUGAUCAGUCUUCCUAUGAUUACUAAGAGAGAAACAAGGAGUCAUAACAGA
Parasteatoda tepidariorum (common house spider) is the source of this 476-nucleotide non-coding RNA. The record is from RefSeq and is a predicted model, not a curated record. Lineage: Eukaryota; Metazoa; Arthropoda; Arachnida; Araneae; Theridiidae.